CGCUCAUCCAGAGGGGCAGAGGGACACGGCCCGUUGAAGCCCCGGCAACCCUCCAGUCGGUUCUCGCCUGCUUGCGGCAGCGGGGUCCCCGGCUAGGGAAGGUGCCAAUUCCGUCUCAUGGCGAAGUGCGCCAUGGGGAAGAUGAGGA
This 148-nucleotide non-coding RNA is filed under the name Actinomycetota bacterium. RNAcentral describes it as "Actinobacteria bacterium SAM-I sequence". It matches the Rfam family "SAM riboswitch aptamer (S box leader)". From Rfam's summary of the family: The SAM riboswitch is found upstream of a number of genes which code for proteins involved in methionine or cysteine biosynthesis in Gram-positive bacteria. Lineage: Bacteria; Bacillati; Actinomycetota. The record is from RNAcentral.